CCUACGGGUGGCAGCAGUAGGGAAUCUUCCACAAUGGACGAAAGUCUGAUGGAGCAACGCCGCGUGAGUGAAGAAGGGUUUCGGCUCGUAAAGCUCUGUUGGUAGUGAAGAAAGAUAGAGGUAGUAACUGGCCUUUAUUUGACGGUAAUUACUUAGAAAGUCACGGCUAACUACGUGCCAGCAGCCGCGGUAAUACGUAGGUGGCAAGCGUUGUCCGGUUUUAUUGGGCGGAAAGCGAGUGCGGGCGGUUCAAUAAGUCUGAUGGGAAAGCCUUCGGCUCAACCGGAGAAUUGCAUCAGAAACUGUUGGACUUGAGUGCAGGAGAGGGGAGUGGAACUCCAUGUGUAGCGGUGGAAUGCGUAGAUAUAUGGAAGAACACCGGUGGCGAAGGCGGCUCUCUGGUCUGCAACUGACGCUGAGGCUCGAAAGCAUGGGUAGCGAACAGGAUUAGAUACCCCAGUAGUC
This 465-nucleotide ribosomal RNA is filed under the name uncultured bacterium. RNAcentral describes it as "partial 16S ribosomal RNA". It matches the Rfam family "Bacterial small subunit ribosomal RNA", at positions 338 to 795 of the family's 1533-position model. The record is from RNAcentral.